GAGGAUAUAAGAUGGUGUUUUGUUCGUCUUAGCACAGGGAUUGGCACUUGGUAGACACCCACUGGAUGCUUGUUGAAUGAACAAAUGAAUGAAUGGACAAAUGAACAGGGCCUCAAGUGAACAAACAAAUGGCAGUGCUAAUGUGAGAACCUGGGACAAGACUUGGUGAUUUGUAAGCCCCCAGGCAGAGAUGGUAAAGCAUCCUUUGUUAUGUGUAUUCAAGCAUCCAUCCAGCCAAAAGUGCUGGAUUCAGGAAAGAUGGCAUCUAGCCCAGUGAGGUGAGGAAACUGAGGCCCAGAGAGGACAGGUCACUUGAGCAACGUCACACAGGUGGAAGGAGGAUUGUAGAACCUGUGCUUUUUAACAACUGCUGCUGCUGUGACUCACCAGAGUCUUGAGUAUUGAGAAGAAAGAACACACUGAAGGCAGAAGAGUCAGAAAGAGCUGAGCGAGUGAGGAGCUGCCUCCAGUGAAAGUCCAAGGGGCUCACCCCACACCAGCUGAGUGGUCCCAAGCUCCUUCCUGCUGUGUGUGUGUGU
RNAcentral lists this long non-coding RNA (539 nucleotides) under Pan troglodytes (chimpanzee). RNAcentral's name for it is "long non-coding RNA NONPTRT003655". The record is from RNAcentral. Lineage: Eukaryota; Metazoa; Chordata; Mammalia; Primates; Hominidae.